RNAcentral lists this long non-coding RNA (257 nucleotides) under Pollicipes pollicipes. RNAcentral's name for it is "uncharacterized LOC119100769". Lineage: Eukaryota; Metazoa; Arthropoda; Thecostraca; Pollicipedomorpha; Pollicipedidae. The record is from RNAcentral.
AUGCCGUGGAGGUGUCGCGUCGCUCGGUUGGCGUCUUGUCACGCGAUCAAGGGACGUGGGAUGUUACUGCGUGGUACUUAGUGGUGUUCCUGUGGGCUGGCACGAUAUGGCAUAAAUCAUACCGUUUGAAGUUAUUCAGCAUGCCACUAGCAAAGAUGGCAUGUUUAUACUGGUGAAGUUUAGUGGCUUCAGAGUUCCUACAUGGGUUUCGAGAGAAAGAGUGCCUCUGAGCCUAAUCCGGUCAUAUUUUGAGAAAG